GAUGAACGCUGGCGGCGUGCCUAAUACAUGCAAGUCGAGCGGUAAGGUCCUGCACUUAGUAUUGGAUUGCGAUAACUUCGGUUAUCACAGUAGACCAACUCAAACCUGGCUAGGAAUGAGGAGGGAUAGGAAGAUCAAAUAUUGGGUGUAGGAUACACGAGCGGCGGACGGCUGAGUAACACGUAGGAACGUACCCCAAAGUGAGGGAUAAGCACCAGAAAUGGUGUCAAUACCGCAUGUGCUCUAAGGAGUAAAGCUUCGGCGCUUUGGGAACGGCCUGCGUAUGAUUAGAUUGUUGGUGAGGUAACGGCUCACCAAGUCGACGAUCAUUAGCUGGUCUGAGAGGAUGACCAGCCAGACUGGAACUGAGAACGGUCCAGACUCCUACGGGAGGCAGCAGUAGGGAAUUUUCCACAAUGGGCGAAAGCCUGAUGGAGCAACGCCGCGUG
This 449-nucleotide ribosomal RNA is filed under the name uncultured bacterium. RNAcentral's name for it is "bacterial SSU rRNA". It matches the Rfam family "Bacterial small subunit ribosomal RNA", at positions 28 to 403 of the family's 1533-position model. The record is from RNAcentral.